Arvicola amphibius (Eurasian water vole) is the source of this 530-nucleotide non-coding RNA. The record is from the annotation of a RefSeq genome assembly. Lineage: Eukaryota; Metazoa; Chordata; Mammalia; Rodentia; Cricetidae.
GCCAUUGAAGAUCUCAAGAGCUCCAGUCUAGGAAGAAUGGAAAAGAUCCAGAAAGUAUCAUUCUUAGUCCUUGCCCUUCACCUAGCAUGGGUGAGUGGUCAGCAGAAGGGGAGACCUGACCAGCAGCAGGUGAAACAAAGCCCCCAAUCCCUAUCAGUCUUAGAAGGAGAGACUUCAGUUCUAAACUGCACUUAUGAGAACAGUGCAUUUGACUACUUCCCAUGGUACCGGCAGUUCCCUGGUGAAGGUCCUGCAUUACUGAUAGACAUACGUUCAGUGUCGAACAAAAAGGAAGAUGGACGAUUCACAGUCUUCUUCAGGAAAAGUGAUAAACAGCUCUCCUUGCACAUCACAGAUUCUCAACCUGGAGACUCAGCCACCUACUUCUGUGCAGCAAGUACACAGUGCUCUCUAGGCACCUGCAGCCCACACCCAAACCUGCAGCUGUGCUCCAGCAAAACCCUGUUUUGGGGCUGAGCCUGGCAGAAGUGCAAAGGAACUUUCAUCUGCAGUGGCUGGUGAUGCAGUGA